GAUUAAAGGGUAAAUCGAUCUGUUUUUAUUAAAAAUUGGUGUAAUUGAUAGAAUAAUCAUACAAGUACACAUGACGUGGCAUGUCACAUGUACUUCAUGGUGACGUAUAUGGACCCGUUUUCAACAGUAGAAAUGGAUAAAAUUUUUAACA
This is a non-coding RNA of Gossypium raimondii (Peruvian cotton), 151 nucleotides long. NCBI's taxonomy places the organism in Eukaryota, Viridiplantae, Streptophyta, Magnoliopsida, Malvales, Malvaceae. The record is from Rfam.